Molecule: ribosomal RNA, 497 nt
Filed under: uncultured bacterium
Lineage: Bacteria
Description: partial 16S ribosomal RNA
Rfam family: Bacterial small subunit ribosomal RNA
Source: RNAcentral
GACGAACGCUGGCGGCGUGCCUAAUACAUGCCAGUAGAACGCUGAAGAGAGGAGCUUGCUCUUCUUGGAUGAGUUGCGAACGGGUGAGUAACGCGUAGGUAACCUGCCUGGUAGCGGGGGAUAACUAUUGGAAACGAUAGCUAAUACCGCAUAAAAUUGAUUAUUGCAUGAUAAUUAAUUGAAAGAUGCAACUGCAUCACUACCAGAUGGACCUGCGUUGUAUUAGCUAGUUGGUGAGGUAACGGCUCACCAAGGCGACGAUACAUAGCCGACCUGAGAGGGGGGUCGGCCAAAAUGGGACUGAGAAACGGCCCAGACUCCUACGGGAGGCAGCAGUAGGGAAUCUUCGGCAAUGGGGGGAACCCUGACCGAGCAACGCCGCGUGAGUGAAGAAGGUUUUCGGAUCGUAAAGCUCUGUUGUAAGAGAAGAACGGGUGUGAGAGUGGAAAGUUCACACUGUGACGGUAUCUUACCAGAAAGGGACGGCUAACUACGUG